AGGGGAGCCGCUUCGGACCGAGACGAAGUCCCCUGGGAAGGGGCAUCAUAGAGGGUGAUANUCCCGUACAUGGCUUGGAGCGCCCGAGGCUUUGUGAUACGCUUUCUAAGAGUCGAGUUGUUUGGGAAUGCAGCUCAAAAUGGGUGGUAAAUGCCAUCUAAGGCUAAAUAUUGGGGAGAGACCGAUAGCGAACAAGUACAGUGAUGGAAAGAUGAAAAGAACUUUGAAAAGAGAGUUAAACAGUACGUGAANUUGCCAAAAGGGAAGGGUAGGAGGUCAGAGAUGCGGCCUGGGAUUCAGCCUUGCUUUUGCUUGGUGUUUUUCCCAGAUUGCAGGCC
This 338-nucleotide ribosomal RNA is filed under the name Moesziomyces antarcticus. RNAcentral describes it as "eukaryotic LSU rRNA". It matches the Rfam family "Eukaryotic large subunit ribosomal RNA", at positions 157 to 491 of the family's 3401-position model. The record is from RNAcentral. Lineage: Eukaryota; Fungi; Basidiomycota; Ustilaginomycetes; Ustilaginales; Ustilaginaceae.